RNAcentral lists this ribosomal RNA (417 nucleotides) under Triticum aestivum (bread wheat). RNAcentral describes it as "partial small subunit ribosomal RNA". The record is from RNAcentral. Lineage: Eukaryota; Viridiplantae; Streptophyta; Magnoliopsida; Poales; Poaceae.
GAGAAUGCCCUCUUUAUCAUUCAAGAUGCAAUUCCACCCGAAGAUCUACCUCACCUUCGGCCCUUCGCCUUGGCCAAAGAUGCAUGGCUUUGUGUUGUCUCUCUCUACUGGGGAAGCGCAAGCAUUCAACGCUGCAACUAUGAAGUAGUGCAAGAUGAAGCCGAUGAGUUUGCAAUGAAAGAAGAUGAAGAACCUCGUGAGCUUUAUUGGAGAGUAACCAAACUCGCGGUCUCACUCCGAGAUCACGGGAGUAAGGACACAUAUGACAAUUGGAUCAAGCGCAAAUUCCUCAAGGCAAUGAUGCCUUACCACAAGGCCAUGUCCUUCGUCAUUCGUCAAAGGCCGGACUUCCACACUUUGACCUCAAGUGAAGUGUUGGAUGAGUUUGUGGCUAUGAACAUCUUGGACAAGACCGCC